Long non-coding RNA from Tachyglossus aculeatus (Australian echidna), 499 nucleotides. RefSeq lists it as uncharacterized. The record is from RefSeq and is a predicted model, not a curated record. Lineage: Eukaryota; Metazoa; Chordata; Mammalia; Monotremata; Tachyglossidae. The transcript is spliced from 2 exons.
CCCCGCCACGGAGGCCGACGACGAGCCCAACCGCGCCCGGGGCCACCGGGGCCACCGGGGCCACCGGGGCUGGUCCCCGUCGUCCGGGUUGGGCCAGGCCGGGGGCCGGGGGCCCGAGCCUGCGGGGCCCCGCCGCUGAUUGUCCAAACGCAAUUCUUGUGCGAGUUUGCGGCCAACCGAGAAUUGUGACUGGACAUCUGUGGCUGGGCUCCCGGCGCGACCGGAGGGCCAGGCGGGACGGGCACCGACCCACCGGCCGCAGCGACGCCUAGAACAGUGCUCCGCACGCAGUAAGCGCUCAAUAAAGACGACUGAUCGGGAGCGACGCUCUUGAGCCUCCGGGUCCGUCUCUGACCCACCCACCCGCAAAGGGGACGACUGCCAAAGACCAAGAAGUUGCCGGCCAGGAGGUCCUGGCGAGUUUGGAGUGGAGUCCAGCCCCCGGCCGGUCCGAGCGUGUGGAGGACAAAGCACCAGGCAAUAAAGAAAAAAACGCCAA